RNAcentral lists this ribosomal RNA (945 nucleotides) under Clavaria incarnata. Its description in RNAcentral is "partial large subunit ribosomal RNA". It matches the Rfam family "Eukaryotic large subunit ribosomal RNA", at positions 21 to 941 of the family's 3401-position model. Lineage: Eukaryota; Fungi; Basidiomycota; Agaricomycetes; Agaricales; Clavariaceae. The record is from RNAcentral.
UUACCCGCUGAAAACUAAGCAUAUCAAUAAGCGGAGGAAAAGAAACUAACAAGGAUUCCCCUAGUAACUGCGAGUGAAGAGGGAAGAGCUCAAAUUUAAAAUCUGACAGGUCAUCCCUUUGACCGGUCCGAGUUGUAAGUUAGAGAAGCGUUUAUCCGCGCCAGCCUGUGCAAAAGUCUCUUGGAAAAGGGCAUCAUAGAGGGUGACAAUCCCGUCUUUGGCACAGAUAACUGGGGCUUUUGUGAUGCGCUCUCGAUGAGUCGAGUUGUUUGGGAAUGCAGCUCUAAACGGGUGGUAAAUUCCAUCUAAAGCUAAAUAUUGGCGAGAGACCGAUAGCGCACAAGUACCGUGAGGGAAAGAUGAAAAGAACUUUGAAAAGAGAGUCAAACAGUACGUGAAAUUGUUGAAAGGGAAACGCUUGAAGUCAGUCGCGUCCUUUGCAAAUCAACUUGACCUUCUGGUUGAGUGCACUUUCCAUUUGGACGGGUCAGCAUCAAUUUUGACCGUCAGAUAAAGACCUUUGGGAAAGUGACAUUCUUUAUUGGAUGUGUUAUAGCCCUGGGUUCAGAUAUGACGGAUGGGAUUGAGGAACUCGGAAGACCGUCCUUCUUGGAUGGAUCUUUCUAGGAUGCUGGCAUAAAUGGCUUUAAUCGACCCGUCUUGAAACACGGACCAAGGAGUCUAACGUGCAUGCGAGUGUUUGGGUGGAAAACCCAAGCGCGUAAUGAAAGUGAAAGUUGGGAACCUUGUCAUGGGGUGCACCGACGCCCGGACCUGAUCUUUUGUGAAGGACCUGCGGUAGAGCAUGUAUGUUGGGACCCGAAAGAUGGUGAACUAUGCCUGAAUAGGGUGAAGCCAGAGGAAACUCUGGUGGAGGCUCGUAGCGAUUCUGACGUGCAAAUCGAUCGUCGAANUUNGGUAUAGGGGCGAAAGACUAAUCGANNC